UACGUAGGGUGCAAGCGUUGUCCGGAAUUAUUGGGCGUAAAGAGCUCGUAGGCGGUUCGUCGCGUCGGCUGUGAAAUCCCGAGGCUCAACCUCGGGUCUGCAGUCGAUACGGGCGGACUGGAGUUCGGCAGGGGAGACUGGAAUUCCUGGUGCAGCGGUGAAAUGCGCAGAUAUCAGGAGGAACACCGGUGGCGAAGGCGGGUCUCUGGGCCGAUACUGACGCUGAGGAGCGAAAGCGUGGGGAGCGAACAGG
RNAcentral lists this ribosomal RNA (253 nucleotides) under uncultured bacterium. Its description in RNAcentral is "partial 16S ribosomal RNA". It matches the Rfam family "Bacterial small subunit ribosomal RNA", at positions 524 to 776 of the family's 1533-position model. The record is from RNAcentral.